This 28-nucleotide non-coding RNA is filed under the name Rattus norvegicus (Norway rat). Lineage: Eukaryota; Metazoa; Chordata; Mammalia; Rodentia; Muridae. The record is from RNAcentral.
UGGUGGACCUUCCCUCCUCAGCUAAACA